GACGAACGCUGGCGGCGUGCUUAACACAUGCGAGUCGAACGGAAAGGCCCUGCUUGCCGGGUACUCGAGUGGCGAACGGGUGAGUAACACGUGGGUGAUCUGCCCUGCACUUCGGGAUAAGCUUGGGAAACUGGGUCUAAUACCGGAUAGGAGCCAUCUUUAGUGUGGUGGUUGGAAAGUUUUUUCGGUGUAGGAUGAGCUCGCGGCCUAUCAGCUUGUUGGUGGGGUAAUGGCCUACCAAGGCGGCGACGGGUAGCCGGCCUGAGAGGGUGUACGGCCACAUUGGGACUGAGAUACGGCCCAGACUCCUACGGGAGGCAGCAGUGGGGAAUAUUGCACAAUGGGCGCAAGCCUGAUGCAGCGACGCCGCGUGGGGGAUGAAGGCCUUCGGGUUGUAAACUCCUUUCGCUAGGGACGAAGCUUUUUGUGACGGUACCUAGAUAAGAAGCACCGGCUAACUACGUG
Molecule: ribosomal RNA, 465 nt
Filed under: uncultured bacterium
Lineage: Bacteria
Description: partial 16S ribosomal RNA
Rfam family: Bacterial small subunit ribosomal RNA
Source: RNAcentral